GGGGCGUGACAGAAAAAUUACUAGUUGCAAAGUUAUACUGUUGGGGCGCAACAGAGUAGUCUAUUGUUGUUCCGGUUUUGGUUAUUGUUAAGGUUGACAUCGAUUCGUUUCAAAUUUACACUCUCGAGGCAUAAUAGAACAAUAUAAUUAGGUUUUACUCUUUGUUCGAUAGAAUGAGAAAAAGUACUCAUUGCAAAGUUAUACUGUUAGGGCGCAACCGAAUAGUCUAAUGUUGUUCCGGUUUUGGUUCUUGUGAACGCUGACAUCAAUUGGUUCGAAAUUACAACUCUCGGGGCAUAAUUGAACAAUAUAAAUUAGGUUUUACUCUUUGUUCGAUAGAAUGAGAAAAAGAACUCGUCGCAAAGUUAUACUGCUAGGGGGCAACUGAGUAGUCUAAUAUUGUUCCGGUUUUGGUUCUUGUGAACGUUGACAUCGAUUCGUUCCAAAUUUACACUCUCGGGGCAUAAUAGAACAAUACAAUUAAGUUUUACUCUUUGUUCGAUCGAAUGAGAAAAAGUACUCGUUGCAAAUUUAUAAUAUUAGGGCGCAGCUGAGUAGUCUAAUGUUGUUCCGGUUUUGGUUCUUGUGAAGGUUGACAUCGAUUCGUUCCAAAUUUACACUCUUGGGGCAUAAUAGAACAAUAUAAUUAGCUUUUACACUUUGUUCGAUCGAAUGGGAAAAAAGUACUCGUUACAAAGUUAUACUGUUAGGGCGCAACUGAGUAGUCUAUUGUUGUUCCAGCUUUGGUUCUUAUGAAGGUUGACAUCGAUUCAUUCCAAAUUUACACUCUCGCGGCAUAAUAGAACAAUAUAAUUAGCUUUUACACUUUGUUCGAUUGAAUGAGAAAAAGUACUAGUUGCAAAGUUAUAUUGUUGGGGUACAACAGAGUAGUCUAUUGUUGUUCCGGUUUUGGUUCUAGUGAAAGUUGACAUCGAUUCGUUCCAAAUUUACACUCUCGGGGCAUAAUGAAUAAAAUAAUUAGCUUUUACACUUUGUUCGAUUGAAUGAGAAAAAGUACUAGUUGCAAAGUUAUACUGUUGGGGCGCAACAGAGUAGUCUACUGUUGUUCCGGUUUUGGUUCUUGUUAAGGUUGACAUCGAUUCAUUCCAAAUUUACACUCUCGGGGCAUAAUAGGACAAUAUAAUUAGGUUUUACUCUUUGUUCGAUAGAAUGAGAAAAAGUACUCAUUGCAAAGUUCUACUGUUAGGGCGCAACUGAAUAGCGUUAUGUUGUUACGGUUUUGGUUCUUGUGAACGUUGACAUCGAUUCGUUCGAAAUUACAACUCUCGCGGCAUAAUUGAACAAUAUAAUUAGGUUUUACACUUUGUUCAAUAGAAUGAGAAAAAGUACUCGUCGCAAAGUUAUACUGUUGGGGCGCAACUAAGUAGUCUAAUGUUGUUCCGGUUUUGGUUCUUGUGAACGUUGACAUCGAUUCGUUCCAAAUUUACACUCUCGGGGCAAAAUAGGACAAUAUAAUUAAGUUUUACGCUUUGUUCGAUCGAAUGAGAAAAUGUACGCGUUGCAAAUUUAUACUGUUAGGGCGCAGCUGGGUAGUCUAAUGUUGUUCCGGUUUCGGUUCAUGUGAAGGUUGACAUCGAUUCGUUCCAAAUGUACACUCUUGGGGCAUAAUAGAACAAUAUAAUUAGCUUUUACACUUUGUUCAAUCGAAUGGAAAAAAAUACUCGUUGCAAAGUUAUACUGUUAGGGCGCAGCUUAGUAGUCUAAUGUUGUUCCGGUUUUGGUUCUUGUGAAGGUUGACAUCGAUUCGUUCUAAAUUUACACUCGCGGGGCAUAAUAGAACAAUAUAAUUAGCUUUUACACUUUGUUCGGUCGAAUGGGAAAAAGUACUCGUUGCAAAGUUAUACUGUUAGGGCGGAACUGAGUAGACUAUUGUUGUUCCGGUUUUGGUUCUUGUGAAGGUUGACAUCGAUUCGUUCCAAAUUUACACUCUUGGGGCAUAAUAGAACAAUAUAAUUAGUUUUUACACUUUGUUCGAUUGAUUAAGAAAAAGUACUAGUUGCAAAGUUAUACUGUUGGGGCGCAACAGAGUAGUCUAUUGUUGUUCCGGUUUUGAUUCUUGCUAAGGUUGACAUCGAUUCGUUCCAAAUUUACACUCUCGGGGCAUAAUAGAACAAUAUAAUUUGGUUUUACUCUUUGUUCGAUAGAAUAAGAAAAAGUAGUCAUUGCAAUGUUAUACUGUUAGGGCGCCACUGAAUAGUCUAAUAUUGUUCCGGUUUUGGUUCUUGUGAACGUUGACAUCGAUUCGUUCGAAAUUACAACUCUCGGGGCAUAAUUGAACAAUAUAAUUAGGUUUUACUCUUUGUUCGAUAGAAUGAGAAAAAGUACUCGUCGCAAAGUUAUACUGCUAGGGCGCAACUGAGUAGUCUAAUGUUGUUCCGAUUUUGGUUCUUGUGAACGUUGACAUCGAUUCGUUCCAAAUUUACACUCUCGGGGCACAAUUGAACAAUAUAAUUAGGUUUUACUCUUUGUUCGAUAAAAAGAGAAAAAGUACUCGUUGCAAAGUUAUACUGUUAGGGCGCAACAGAGUAGUCUAAUGUUGUUCCGGUUUUCGUUCUUGUGAACGGUGACAUCGAUUCGUUCCAAAUUUACACUCUCGGGNCUGGGAACUUGUUGUACACAAUCUCGUCGUUGUGCCUUGGGCGGACAGGGGAGGUACUGUCCGUACGGCGGUCCGCCGCCGUGCCCGAACCGAACCAAAUUGGUAUCGGCCUCGGGGCGGGGGCGUGACAGAAAAAUUACUAGUUGCAAAGUUAUACUGUUGGGGCGCAACAGAGUAGUCUAUUGUUGUUCCGGUUUUGGUUAUUGUUAAGGUUGACAUCGAUUCGUUUCAAAUUUACACUCUCGAGGCAUAAUAGAACAAUAUAAUUAGGUUUUACUCUUUGUUCGAUAGAAUGAGAAAAAGUACUCAUUGCAAAGUUAUACUGUUAGGGCGCAACCGAAUAGUCUAAUGUUGUUCCGGUUUUGGUUCUUGUGAACGCUGACAUCAAUUGGUUCGAAAUUACAACUCUCGGGGCAUAAUUGAACAAUAUAAAUUAGGUUUUACUCUUUGUUCGAUAGAAUGAGAAAAAGAACUCGUCGCAAAGUUAUACUGCUAGGGGGCAACUGAGUAGUCUAAUAUUGUUCCGGUUUUGGUUCUUGUGAACGUUGACAUCGAUUCGUUCCAAAUUUACACUCUCGGGGCAUAAUAGAACAAUACAAUUAAGUUUUACUCUUUGUUCGAUCGAAUGAGAAAAAGUACUCGUUGCAAAUUUAUAAUAUUAGGGCGCAGCUGAGUAGUCUAAUGUUGUUCCGGUUUUGGUUCUUGUGAAGGUUGACAUCGAUUCGUUCCAAAUUUACACUCUUGGGGCAUAAUAGAACAAUAUAAUUAGCUUUUACACUUUGUUCGAUCGAAUGGGAAAAAAGUACUCGUUACAAAGUUAUACUGUUAGGGCGCAACUGAGUAGUCUAUUGUUAUUCCAGUUUUGGUUCUUGUGAAGGUUGACAUCGAUUCGUUCCAAAUUUACACUCUCGGGGCAUAAUAGAACAAUAAAAUUAGCUUUUACACUUUGUUCGAUUGAAUAAGAAAAAGUACUAGUUGCAAAGUUAUAUUGUUGGGGUGCAACAGAGUAGUCUAUUGUUUUUCCGAUUUUGGUUCUGGUGAAGGUUGAUAUCGAUUCGUUCCAAAUUUACACUCUCGGGGCAUAAUGAAUAAAAUAAAUAGCUUUUACACUUUGUUCGAUUGAAUGAGAAAAAGUACUAGUUGCAAAGUUAUACUGUUGGGGCGCAACAGAGUAGUUUACUGUUGUUCCGAUUUUGGUUCUUGUUAAGGUUGACAUCGAUUCAUUCCAAAUUUACACUCUCGGGGCAUAAUAGAACAAUACAAUUAAGUUUUACUCUUUGUUCGAUCGAAUGAGAAAAAGUACUCGUUGCAAAAUUAUGCUGUUAGGGCGCAACUGAGUAGUCUAGUGUUGUUCCGAUUUUGGUUCUUGUGAAGAUUGACAUCGAUUCGUUCCAAAUUUACACUCUCGGGGCAUAAUAGAACAAUAUAAUUAGCUUUUACACUUUGUUCGAUUGAAUGAGAAAAAGUACUAGUUGCAAAGUUAUACUGUUGGGGCGCAACAGAGUAGUCUAUUGUUGUUCCGGUUUUGGUUCUUGUUAAGGUUGACAUCGAUUCGUUCCAAAUUUACACUCUCGGGGCAUAAUAGAACAAUAUAAUUAGGUUUUACUCUUUGUUCGAUCGAAUGAGAAAAAGUACUCGUUGCAAAGUUAUACUGUUAGGGCGCAACUGAGUAGUCUAAUGUUGUUCCGGUUUUGGUUCUUGUGAACGUUGACAUCGAUUCGUUCGAAUUUACACUCUCGCGGCAUAAUAGAACAAUAUAAUUAGGUUUUACACUUUGUUCGAUAGAAUGAGAAAAAGUACUCGUUGCAAAGUUAUACUGUUAGGGCGCAACUGAGUAGUCUAAUGUUGUUCCGGUUUUGGUUCUUGUGAACGUUGACAUCGAUUCGUUCCAAAUUUACACUCUCGGGGCAUAAUAGAACAAUAUAAUUAGGUUUUACGCUUUGUUCGAUUGAAUGAGAAAAAGUACUCGUUGCAAAGUUAUACUGUUAGGGCGCAACUGAGUAGUCUAAUGUUGUUCCGGUUUUGGUUCUUGUGAACGUUGACAUCGAUUCGUUCCAAAUUUACACUCUCGGGGCAUAAUAGAACAAUAUAAUUAGNNNNNNNNNNNNNNNNNNNNNNNNNAGAUCGAUUCGUUCCAAAUUUACACUCUCGGGGCAUAAUAGGAAGUUUUUACUUCUUGUUCGAUAGAAUAAGAAAAAGUACUCAUCGCAAAGUUAUACUGUUAUGGCGCAACUGAGUAGUCUAAUGUUGUUCCGGUUUUGGUUCUUGUCAACGUUGACAUCGAUUCGUUCUAAAUUUACACUCUCGACGCUUGAACAAUAUAAUUAGGUUUUACUCUUUAUUCGAUUGAAUGAGAAAAAGGACUAGUUGCAAUGUUAUACUGUUAGGGCUCAACUGAGUAGUCUAACGUUCUUCCGGUUUUGGUUCUUGUGAACGCUGACAUUGAUUCGUUCCGAAUUUACACCCUUGGGGCAUAAAAGAAAGCUUUUACUCCUUGUUCGAUGAUUGAGAAAAAGUACUCAUUGCAAAGUUAUACUGUUAUGGCGCAAUAGAGUAGUCUAAUGUUGUUCCGGUUUUGGUUCUUGUGAACAUUGACGUCAAUUAGUUCCAAAUUUACACUCUCGGGGCAUAAUAGAACAAUAUUAUUAUGUUUUACGCUUUAUUCGAUUGAACGAGAAAAAGUACUCGUCGCAAAGUUAUUCUAUUAGGCGCAACUGAGUAGUCUAAUGUAGUUCCGGUUAUGGUACUUGUGAACGUUGACAUCGAUUCGUUCCAAAUUUACACUCUCGGGGCAUAAUAGAAAGCUUUUACUCCUUGUUCAAUAGAAUUAGAAAAAGUACUCGUUGCAAAGUUAAACUGUUAAGGCACACAGAGUAGUCUAUUGUUGUUCCGAUUUUGGUUCUUGUCAACGUUGACAUCGAUUCGUUCCAAAUUUACACUCUUGGGGUAUAAUAGAACAAUAUAAUUAGGUUUUACUCUUUAGUCGAUUGAAUGAGAAAAAGUACUAGUUGCAAUGUAAUACUAUCAGGGCUCAACUGAGUAGUCUAACGUUGUUUCUGUUUUGGUUCUUGUGAACGUUGACAUCGAUUCGUUCAAAAUUUACACUCUCGGGGAAUAAUAAAAAGCUUUUACUCCUUACUCGAAACAAUGAGAAAAAGUACACGUUGCAAAGUUAUGCUAUUAUGGCGCAACAGAGUAGCCUAAUGUAGUUCCGGUUUUGGUUCUUGUCAACGUUGACAUCGAUUCGUUCCAAAUAUACACUCUCGGGGCAUAAUAGAACAAUAUCGUUUGGUUUUACUCUUUAUUCGAUUGAAUGAGAGAAAGUACUCGUUGCAAAGUUAUACUGUUAUGGCAAAACUGAGUAGUCAAAUUUAGUUCCUGUUUUGGUUCUUGUGAACUUUGACUUCGAUUCGUUCCAAAUUUAUACUCUCGAGGCAUAAUAGAACAAUAUUAUUAGUUUUGCUAUUUGUUCGAUUGAAUGAGAACAAGUUCUAGUUGCAAAGUUAUACUGUCAAGGCUCAACUGAGUAGUCAAACGUUGUUCCGGUUUUGGUUUUUGUGAACGUCAACAUCGUUACGUUGCAAAUUUACACUCUCGGGGCAUAAUAGAAAGCUUUUACACCUUGUUCGAUAGAAAGAGAAAAAGUACUCGUUGCAAAAUUAUAUUGUUAUGGCGCAACAGAGUAGUCUAAUGUUAUUUCAGGUUUGGUUCUUGUGAACAUUGACAUCGAUUCAUACCAAAUUUACACUCUCGGUGCAUAAUAGAACAACAUAAGUAGGUUUUGCUCUUUGUUCGAUUGAAUGAGAAAAAGUACUAGUUGCAAUCUUAUACUGUUAGGGCUCAACUGAGUUGUCUAACGUUGUUUCGGUUUUGGUUCUCGUGAACGUUGACAUCGAUUCNNNNNNNNNNNNNNNNNNNNNNNNNAUACUGUUAUGGCGCAACUGAGUAGUCUAAUGUUGUUCCAGUUUUGGUUCUUGUGAACGUUGACAUCGAUUCGUUCCAAAUUAAAACUCUCCGGUAAUAAUAGAACAAUAUAAUUAGGUUUUGCUCUUUGUUCGAUUGAAUGAGAAAAAAUACUAGUUGCAAAGUUAUACUGUUAGGGCUCAACUGAGUAGUCUAACGUUGUUCCGGUUUUAGUUCGUGCGAACGUUGACAUUGAUUCGCUCCAAAUUUACACUCUCGGGGCAUAAUAGAUAGCUUUUACUCCUUAUUCGAUAGAAUUAGAAAAAGUACUCGUUGCAAAGUUAAACUGUUAAGGCGCAACUGAGUAGUCUAGCGUUGUUCCAGUUUUGGUUCUUGUGAACGUUGACAUCGAUUCGUUCCAAAUUUACACUCUCGGGGUAUAAUAGAACAAUAUAAUUAGGUUUUACUCUUUGUUCAAUUGAAUAAGAAAAAGUACUGGUUGCAAUGUCAUACUGUUAGGGCUCAACUGAGUAGUCUAACGUUCUUCCGAUUUUGGUUCUCGUGAACGUUG
Molecule: long non-coding RNA, 7094 nt
Filed under: Ananas comosus (pineapple)
Lineage: Eukaryota; Viridiplantae; Streptophyta; Magnoliopsida; Poales; Bromeliaceae
Description: long non-coding RNA (ACOM_LNC029062)
Source: RNAcentral